This 493-nucleotide ribosomal RNA is filed under the name uncultured bacterium. Its description in RNAcentral is "partial 16S ribosomal RNA". It matches the Rfam family "Bacterial small subunit ribosomal RNA", at positions 29 to 523 of the family's 1533-position model. The record is from RNAcentral.
AUUGAACGCUGGCGGCAUGCUUUACACAUGCAAGUCGAACGGUAACAGGUUAAGCUGACGAGUGGCGAACGGGUGAGUAAUGCAUCGGAACGUGCCCGGUCGUGGGGGAUAACGCAGCGAAAGCUGCGCUAAUACCGCAUACGAUCUGAGGAUGAAAGCGGGGGACCGUAAGGCCUCGCGCGAUCGGAGCGGCCGAUGUCAGAUUAGGUGGUUGGUGGGGUAAAGGCUCACCAGGCCAACGAUCUGUAGCUGGUCUGAGAGGACGACCAGCCACACUGGGACUGAGACACGGCCCAGACUCCUACGGGAGGCAGCAGUGGGGAAUUUUGGACAAUGGGCGAAAGCCUGAUCCAGCAAUGCCGCGUGCAGGAAGAAGGCCUUCGGGUUGUAAACUGCUUUUGUACGGAGCGAAAAGGUCUCCUCUAAUACAGGGGGCUCAUGACGGUACCGUAAGAAUAAGCACCGGCUAACUACGUGCCAGCCGCCGCAGUAA